This 461-nucleotide ribosomal RNA is filed under the name uncultured bacterium. RNAcentral describes it as "partial 16S ribosomal RNA". It matches the Rfam family "Bacterial small subunit ribosomal RNA", at positions 338 to 795 of the family's 1533-position model. The record is from RNAcentral.
UCUACGGGAGGCUGCAGUGAGGAAUAUUGGUCAAUGGGCGAGAGCCUGAACCAGCCAAGUCGCGUGAAGGAUGACGGCCCUACGGGUUGUAAACUUCUUUUGUCAGGGAGCAAUUGAGUCCACGUGUGGUCUUAGCGAGAGUACCUGAAGAAAAAGCAUCGGCUAACUCCGUGCCAGCAGCCGCGGUAAUACGGAGGAUGCGAGCGUUAUCCGGAUUUAUUGGGUUUAAAGGGUGCGUAGAUGGGUUGUUAAGGCAGUUGUGAAAGUUUGCGGCUCAACCGUAAAAUUGCAAUUGAUACUGGCAGUCGUGAGUACAGUUGAGGUAGGCGGAAUUCGUGGUGUAGCGGUGAAAUGCGUAGAUAUCACGAAGAACUCCGAUUGCGAAGGCAGCUUACUAAACUGCCACUGACAUUGAUGCUCGAAAGUGUGGGUAUCAAACAGGAUUAGAUACCCUUGUAGUC